This 497-nucleotide ribosomal RNA is filed under the name uncultured bacterium. RNAcentral describes it as "partial 16S ribosomal RNA". It matches the Rfam family "Bacterial small subunit ribosomal RNA", at positions 28 to 507 of the family's 1533-position model. The record is from RNAcentral.
GAUGAACGCUGGCGGCGUGCCUAAUACAUGCAAGUCGAGCGAACGGACGAGAAGCUUGCUUCUCUGAUGUUAGCGGCGGACGGGUGAGUAACACGUGGAUAACCUACCUAUAAGACUGGGAUAACUUCGGGAAACCGGAGCUAAUACCGGAUAAUAUUUUGAACCGCAUGGUUCAAAAGUGAAAGACGGUCUUGCUGUCACUUAUAGAUGUAUCGGGGCUUAUUUAGUUAGUUGGUAAGGUAACGCCUUACCAAGGCAACGAUGCAUAGCCGACCUGAGAGGGUGAUCGGCCACACUGGAACUGAGACACGGUCAAGACUCCUACGGGAGGCGGCAGUAGGGAAUCUUCCGCAAUGGCCGAAAGCCUGACGGAGCACCGCCGCGUGAGUGAUGAAGGUCUUCGGAUCUUAAAACUCUUUUAUUAGGGAAGAAGAUAUGUGUAAGUAAAUGUGCACAUCUUGACGGUACCUAAUCAGAAAGCCACGGCUAACUACGUG